RNAcentral lists this microRNA (22 nucleotides) under Xenopus laevis (African clawed frog). RNAcentral describes it as "Xla-Novel-22_5p (mature (guide))". Lineage: Eukaryota; Metazoa; Chordata; Amphibia; Anura; Pipidae. The record is from RNAcentral.
AAGCAGUGUGCAGGGUUGUUUU